RNAcentral lists this ribosomal RNA (496 nucleotides) under uncultured bacterium. Its description in RNAcentral is "partial 16S ribosomal RNA". It matches the Rfam family "Bacterial small subunit ribosomal RNA", at positions 29 to 507 of the family's 1533-position model. The record is from RNAcentral.
AUGAACGCUGGCGGCGUGCCUAAUACAUGCAAGUCGAGCGAACAGACGAGGAGCUUGCUCCUCUGACGUUAGCGGCGGACGGGUGAGUAACACGUGGAUAACCUACCUAUAAGACUGGGAUAACUUCGGGAAACCGGAGCUAAUACCGGAUAAUAUAUUGAACCGCAUGGUUCAAUAGUGAAAGACGGUUUUGCUGUCACUUAUAGAUGGAUCCGCGCCGCAUUAGCUAGUUGGUAAGGUAACGGCUUACCAAGGCAACGAUGCGUAGCCGACCUGAGAGGGUGAUCGGCCACACUGGAACUGAGACAUGGUCCAGACUCCUACGGGAGGCAGCAGUAGGGAAUCUUCCGCAAUGGGCGAAAGCUUGACGGAGCAACGCCGCGUGAGUGAUGAAGGUCUUCGGAUCGUAAAACUCUGUUAUUAGGGAAGAACAAAUGUGUAAGUAACUAUGCACGUCUUGACGGUACCUAAUCAGAAAGCCACGGCUAACUACGUG